RNAcentral lists this ribosomal RNA (550 nucleotides) under uncultured bacterium. Its description in RNAcentral is "bacterial SSU rRNA". It matches the Rfam family "Bacterial small subunit ribosomal RNA", at positions 355 to 896 of the family's 1533-position model. The record is from RNAcentral.
UAGGGAAUCUUCGGCAAUGGACGAAAGUCUGACCGAGCAACGCCGCGUGAGUGAAGAAGGUUUUCGGAUCGUAAAGCUCUGUUGUAAGUCAAGAACGUGUGUGAGAGUGGAAAGUUCACACAGUGACGGUAGCUUACCAGAAAGGGACGGCUAACUACGUGCCAGCAGCCGCGGUAAUACGUAGGUCCCGAGCGUUGUCCGGAUUUAUUGGGCGUAAAGGGAGCGCAGGCGGUCAGGAAAGUCUGGAGUAAAAGGCUAUGGCCCAACCAUAGUGUGCUCUGGAAACUGUCUGACUUGAGUGCAGAAGAGGAGAGUGGAAUUCCAUGUGUAGCGGUGAAAUGCGUAGAUAUAUGGAGGAACACCAGUGGCGAAAGCGGCUCUCUGGUCUGUCACUGACGCUGAGGCUCGAAAGCGUGGGUAGCGAACAGGAUUAGAUACCCUGGUAGUCCAUGCCGUAAACGAUGAGUGCUAGGUGUUGGAGGGUUUCCGCCCUUCAGUGCCGGAGCUAACGCAUUAAGCACUCCGCCUGGGGAGUACGACCGCAAGGUUG